RNAcentral lists this long non-coding RNA (1041 nucleotides) under Homo sapiens (human). RNAcentral describes it as "HSALNT0331634". Lineage: Eukaryota; Metazoa; Chordata; Mammalia; Primates; Hominidae. The record is from RNAcentral.
AAGACACAGGGAGAAGAAGCCACCUGCAGGCGAAGGAGAGAGGCCUCAGGGGAAACCAGCCCUGCUCACACCUGGACCUUGGGCUUCCAGCUCCCAGGACUGUGGGGAAAUGAAAUUCUGUUGAAGCCACCCAGGCUGCGGCAUUUGGUUAUGGCAGCCCUAGCAACGGAAUCUACUUUGUAAGGAAGAAUGACUUCAUCGGGUAGUUCCAGCGAUGGCUUGGGGACAUUUUGAGGGCUUUCAAGUCCCUGCUGUGGACAAUCUGCAUGUGACAGCUGAGACAGGAGGAAGAGGCCCAAGGGAACGCAUUCCUGCUAGGACAGAGCUGGCUGGCUGCACAGUGGAGAGUGUUUGCUGGAAGCUGCUACCAGCCAUGGGGCACCUACCCGCCCAGCGGCCCUUGCAUCCAGAUGCAGAGCCCUGGACAAAGGACGGAGCUGUGAAAACAGUGCCUGGAGGAUCUGAUCCCUUCUAGCAAGGCCAAGAGACACGGCUGGGCUGGGGAGGACGGGGUCUCCAGGCCUCACCAUGGCCACUUAUCUAGACGCCAGCAUCAAAAGGUUCAAAGCCCAGGUCACAGGCUCAUGAAAAAAUUAAGCAGGUAUCAAAAAAUAUCACAAAGGCAACAGUUUUAUGACAUGAAAACAUCUAUCAGAGACAAUAUAAACCUGUCUGCUAAUAGAACCAGGAUUGGACUUUCCCAGGAUGACCAGGUCGCAAGGGUUGAGAUGACAAAAUCCCCUUAUGGAUGGGACUUCUUGGUCCUGGGUUCCCUUGACUGUGGCUUCCAGAAGAGAAGAGCUUUGGAGUCCUGCUGAGAGUGCCAAAACUGUGGGGGCCAAGAGAUAACUCUCCCUUCACCCUCUGAAGUUUCACUGAAACAUCAACCGACAAAAAGCAGAUUAAUAGGAGAAAUGGCAUACGAAUGUGUUAAGGUGCGUGGAGGGAAUAUCACAGAGUGGUUACCCCAACCCCUCAAUGGUGUACAGAGCUUAUAUACCAUCCUGAGCUUCCAAAAAGAAUAAAGGCUAACAGCAUAUG